This 87-nucleotide transfer RNA is filed under the name Chloropicon laureae. RNAcentral's name for it is "tRNA-Ser". It matches the Rfam family "tRNA". Rfam says of the family: Transfer RNA (tRNA) molecules are approximately 80 nucleotides in length. Their secondary structure includes four short double-helical elements and three loops (D, anti-codon, and T loops). Further hydrogen bonds mediate the characteristic L-shaped molecular structure. tRNAs have two regions of fundamental functional importance: the anti-codon, which is responsible for specific mRNA codon recognition, and the 3' end, to which the tRNAs corresponding amino acid is attached (by aminoacyl-tRNA synthetases). tRNAs cope with the degeneracy of the genetic code in two manners: having more than one tRNA (with a specific anti-codon) for a particular amino acid; and 'wobble' base-pairing, i.e. permitting non-standard base-pairing at the 3rd anti-codon position. The record is from RNAcentral. Lineage: Eukaryota; Viridiplantae; Chlorophyta; Chloropicophyceae; Chloropicales; Chloropicaceae.
GGGGAGGUGGCUGAGUGGUCGAAAGCGCUGGUUUGCUAAACCAGUUUACAUUUUUUUGUAACGCGGGUUCGAAUCCCGUCCUUCCCG